UCUGAAUCUGCGNACGGCUCCGCAAACCAGUUGUAAACUAUAGCAAGCAUGCCUGGGUUCCCUUCACUGGGAGCUUGGGCGAUACGGAUAACCCUGGUAAUUCUGAGGCUAAUACGAGAACGCAAUCCUUGGCUGACCGGGCAACUGGGAGGCUGAGAGGUGUGUGAUUUAGCACGAGGAAUCUGCUGGGAAUAGACACAUGCCUGGACCGCGCCAAAAACAGAUGGGGCUUCCCGCAAGGGUCGUCCUGCCUGAGCGGCUCUUGCUUUGUGCUUCUGACCUAUCAACUAGAUGGCAGCGUAACGGACAUGCUAUGGUGACAACGGGUACAG
RNAcentral lists this ribosomal RNA (332 nucleotides) under uncultured myxomycete. RNAcentral describes it as "bacterial SSU rRNA". It matches the Rfam family "Eukaryotic small subunit ribosomal RNA", at positions 80 to 365 of the family's 1831-position model. The record is from RNAcentral. Lineage: Eukaryota; Evosea; Eumycetozoa.